RNAcentral lists this ribosomal RNA (547 nucleotides) under uncultured bacterium. RNAcentral describes it as "bacterial SSU rRNA". It matches the Rfam family "Bacterial small subunit ribosomal RNA", at positions 356 to 896 of the family's 1533-position model. The record is from RNAcentral.
AGGGAAUCUUCCGCAAUGGGCGAAAGCCUGACGGAGCAACGCCGCGUGAGUGAAGAAGGAUUUCGGUUCGUAAAGCUCUGUUGUUAGGGAAGAAUGAUCGUGUAGUAACUAUACACAGUAGAGACGGUACCUAACCAGAAAGCCACGGCUAACUACGUGCCAGCAGCCGCGGUAAUACGUAGGUGGCAAGCGUUGUCCGGAAUUAUUGGGCGUAAAGCGCGCGCAGGUGGUUUAAUAAGUCUGAUGUGAAAGCCCACGGCUCAACCGUGGAGGGUCAUUGGAAACUGUUAAACUUGAGUGCAGGAGAGAAAAGUGGAAUUCCUAGUGUAGCGGUGAAAUGCGUAGAGAUUAGGAGGAACACCAGUGGCGAAGGCGGCUUUUUGGCCUGUAACUGACACUGAGGCGCGAAAGCGUGGGGAGCAAACAGGAUUAGAUACCCUGGUAGUCCACGCCGUAAACGAUGAGUGCUAAGUGUUGGUCUCAUAAGAGAUCAGUGCUGCAGCUAACGCAUUAAGCACUCCGCCUGGGGAGUACGACCGCAAGGUUG